AGGUUUCCGUGGGUGAAUCGACUGCGGAAUGAUCCUUGUCUUUUGCUUGGAAAACAUCGAUUUUUGUGUUCGUCUUCUAUUCUACUGUUGUGGGGGAGGUGUCGCCUCGUCGGGCCAGCGGCCGGGGUCCCCAAUCGGGCCAGCGCGCGGGGACAACGGUUCGGACUGCGCCAGGGAACUGGAGAUGCUGAGGCGGCCGGCGAGCGUGCUCUGCUUGCCGCCUAUGCAAAGGAAUACACGAUGACUCUCGGCAACGGAUAUCUCGGCUCUCGCAUCGAUGAAGAACGUAGCGAAAUGCGAUACGUGGUGUGAAUUGCAGAAUCCCGCGAACCAUCGAGUCUUUGAACGCAAGUUGCGCCCGAGGGAUCCGCCCGAGGGCACGCCUGCCUGGGCGUUAGAAGCCCUUCCACGCUCGGUGCUCAUUUUCAGCGCCGAUGCGGAUCGUGGCCCUCCGAGCCCAAGGGGGGCGGUGGGCCUAAUUGUGCGGCCGCCGGGGGGAGCCGGGAGCGGCGAGUGGUGGAACGCUGCGUACGCCGCCCCGCGCCCCUCUGCCGGCAGAUGGCCUUGACCGACCUUCGAACGGGGAGCCGUGCCCGCGACGGCGCGGGGCCUUCGGAUCGAUACCCCAGGUCAGGCGGGGUUACCCGUCAUAAGAAAAACCCCA
This 664-nucleotide ribosomal RNA is filed under the name Schoenus laevigatus. RNAcentral's name for it is "eukaryotic LSU rRNA". The stretch from base 243 to 397 matches the Rfam family "5.8S ribosomal RNA". Lineage: Eukaryota; Viridiplantae; Streptophyta; Magnoliopsida; Poales; Cyperaceae. The record is from RNAcentral.